UUGAAAGGGAAACGAUUGAAGUCAGUCAUACCAACGGGAAAUCAACCUUUUGAGCUUGGUCUCGUGGGUUUUGAAGAGUUUCAAAGCCUUCGGAUUCGCGGGAUUGGGAUCUCUUGGUGUACUUUUUCGUACGGUUAGUCAACAUCGGUUUUGAAUGUCAUAAAAUGACUGGAGGAAUGUAGCUUCGAUCUCGUAUUGAAGUGUUAUAGCCUUUGGUAGAUGUGAUGUUUGAGACCGAGGAUUGCAACGGAUACCCUUCAGGGCUAUUCGUCUGAUCUCUGAUACGUUGCCUUGAUGUUGAAAGCUUGCUUAUGAUGUUAGGGUAUUACGGUCAAAAGGUUAGAACGAAUUACAUUCGUUAAGGAUGUUGACGUA
RNAcentral lists this ribosomal RNA (375 nucleotides) under Funneliformis mosseae. RNAcentral describes it as "eukaryotic LSU rRNA". RNAcentral also lists the same sequence under 3 other names. Lineage: Eukaryota; Fungi; Glomeromycota; Glomeromycetes; Glomerales; Glomeraceae. The record is from RNAcentral.